GAUGAACGCUGGCGGCGUGCCUAAUACAUGCAAGCCGAGCGAACAGACGAGGAGCUUGCUCCUCUGACGUUAGCGGCGGACGGGUGAGUAACACGUGGAUAACCUACCUAUAAGACUGGGAUAACUUCGGGAAACCGGAGCUAAUACCGGAUAAUAUAUUGAACCGCAUGGUUCAAUAGUGAAAGACGGUUUUGCUGUCACUUGUAGAUGGAUCCGCGCCGCAUUAGCUAGUUGGUAAGGUAACGGCUUACCAAGGCAACGAUGCGUAGCCGACCUGAGAGGGUGAUCGGCCACACUGGAACUGAGACACGGUCCAGACUCCUACGGGAGGCAGCAGUAGGGAAUCUUCCGCAAUGGGCGAAAGCUUGACGGAGCAACGCCGCGUGAGUGAUGAAGGUCUUCGGAUCGUAAAACUCUGUUAUUAGGGAAGAACAAAUGUGUAAGUAACUAUGCACGUCUUGACGGUACCUAAUCAGAAAGCCACGGCUAACUACGUG
RNAcentral lists this ribosomal RNA (497 nucleotides) under uncultured bacterium. RNAcentral describes it as "partial 16S ribosomal RNA". It matches the Rfam family "Bacterial small subunit ribosomal RNA", at positions 28 to 507 of the family's 1533-position model. The record is from RNAcentral.